This 73-nucleotide transfer RNA is filed under the name Actinomycetota bacterium. Its description in RNAcentral is "tRNA-Arg". It matches the Rfam family "tRNA". Rfam says of the family: Transfer RNA (tRNA) molecules are approximately 80 nucleotides in length. The record is from RNAcentral. Lineage: Bacteria; Bacillati; Actinomycetota.
GCCCCCGUAGCUCAGUGGAUAGAGCAACGGUUUCCUAAACCGUGUGUCGCAGGUUCGAUUCCUGCCGGGGGCA